CAACUUUUAACGGUGGAUCUUUUGGCUCGUGCAUCGAUGAAGAACGCAGCCAGAUGCGAUAAGUAAUGUGAAUUGCAGAAUACAGUGAAUUGUCGAAUCUUUGAACGCAAAUGGCGCUCCCUGGUCUUCCAGGGAGCAUGUCUGUCUGAGUGUCGUUU
This 158-nucleotide ribosomal RNA is filed under the name Chironex fleckeri. RNAcentral describes it as "5.8S ribosomal RNA". It matches the Rfam family "5.8S ribosomal RNA". From Rfam's summary of the family: 5.8S ribosomal RNA (5.8S rRNA) is a component of the large subunit of the eukaryotic ribosome. It is transcribed by RNA polymerase I as part of the 45S precursor that also contains 18S and 28S rRNA. Functionally, it is thought that 5.8S rRNA may be involved in ribosome translocation. The record is from RNAcentral. Lineage: Eukaryota; Metazoa; Cnidaria; Cubozoa; Chirodropida; Chirodropidae.